This 253-nucleotide ribosomal RNA is filed under the name uncultured bacterium. RNAcentral describes it as "partial 16S ribosomal RNA". It matches the Rfam family "Bacterial small subunit ribosomal RNA", at positions 524 to 776 of the family's 1533-position model. The record is from RNAcentral.
UACAGAGGUGGCAAGCGUUGUUCGGAAUUACUGGGCGUAAAGGGCGCGUAGGCGGCCUACUAAGUCAGACGUGAAAUCCCUCGGCUUAACCGGGGAACUGCGCCUGAUACUGGAUGGCUUGAAUUCGGGAGAGGGAUGUGGAAUUCCAGGUGUAGCGGUGAAAUGCGUAGAUAUCUGGAGGAACACCGGUGGCGAAGGCGGCAUCCUGGACCGAUAUUGACGCUGAUGCGCGAAAGCCAGGGGAGCAAACGGG